CCCAACAGUAAUAAGUCAACCAUGUCAACCAUGAGGUCAACCAGGAACAACACCUCCUCCUAACAGUAUACUGACCAUAUAACAGGGAAGAGGAUGAGGUCAACCAGGAACAACACCUCCUCCUGACAGUAUACUGACCAUAUAACAGGGAAGAGGAUGAGGUCAACCAGGAACAACACCUCCUCCUAACAGUAUACUGACCAUAUAACAGGGAAGAGGAUGAGGUCAACCAGGAACAACACCUCCUCCUAACAGUAUACUGACCAUAUAACAGGGAAGAGGAUGAGGUCAACCAGGAACAAUCCUCCUGACAGUAUACUGACCAUAUAACAGGGAAGAGAAUGAGGUCAACCAGGAACAAUCCUCCUGACAGUAUACUGACCAUAUAACAGGGAAGAGAAUGAGGUCAACCAGGAACAAUCCUCCUGACAGUAUACUGACCAUAUAACAGGGAAGAGAAUGAGGUCAACCAGGAACAAUCCUCCUGACAGUAUACUGACCAUAUAACAGGGAAGAGAAUGAGGUCAACCAGGAACAAUCCUCCUGACAGUAUACUGACCAUACAACAGGGAAGAGAAUGAGGUCAACCAGGAACAACACCUCCUCCUAACAGUAUACUGACCAUAUAACAGGGAAGAGGAUGAGGUCAACCAGGAACAACACCUCCUCCUAACAGUAUACUGACCAUAUAACAGGGAAGAGGAUGAGGUCAACCAGGAACAACACCUCCUCCUGACAGUAUACUGACCAUAUAACAGGGAAGAGGAUGAGGUCAACCAGGAACAACACCUCCUCCUGACAGUAUACUGACCAUAUAACAGGGAAGAGGAUGAGGUCAACCAGGAACAACACCUCCUCCUGACAGUAUACUGACCAUAUAACAGGGAAGAGGAUGAGGUCAACCAGGAACAACACCUCCUCCUAACAGUAUACUGACCAUAUAACAGGGAAGAGGAUGAGGUCAACCAGGAACAACACCUCCUCCUAACAGUAUACUGACCAUAUAACAGGGAAGAGGAUGAGGUCAACCAGGAACAACACCUCCUCCUAACAGUAUACUGACCAUAUAACAGGGAAGAGGAUGAGGUCAACCAGGAACAACACCUCCUCCUAACAGUAUACUGACCAUAUAACAGGGAAGAGGAUGAGGUCAACCAGGAACAACACCUCCUCCUAACAGUAUACUGACCAUAUAACAGGGAAGAGGAUGAGGUCAACCAGGAACAACACCUCCUCCUGACAGUAUACUGACCAUAUAACAGGGAAGAGGAUGAGGUCAACCAGGAACAACACCUCCUCCUAACAGUAUACUGACCAUAUAACAGGGAAGAGGAUGAGGUCAACCAGGAACAACACCUCCUCCUGACAGUAUACUGACCAUACAACAGGGAAGAGGAUGAGGUCAACCAGGAACAACACCUCCUCCUGACAGUAUACUGACCAUAUAACAGGGAAGAGGAUGAGGUUAACCAGGAACAACACCUCCUCCUGACAGUAUACUGACCAUAUAACAGGGAAGAGGAUGAGGUCAACCAGGAACAACACCUCCUCCUAACAGUAUACUGACCAUAUAACAGGGAAGAGGAUGAGGUCAACCAGGAACAACACCUCCUCCUGACAGUAUACUGACCAUAUAACAGGGAAGAGGAUGA
Molecule: long non-coding RNA, 1652 nt
Organism: Oncorhynchus keta (chum salmon)
Lineage: Eukaryota; Metazoa; Chordata; Actinopteri; Salmoniformes; Salmonidae
Exons: 12
Source: RefSeq, a predicted model, not a curated record